This 1096-nucleotide long non-coding RNA is filed under the name Capra hircus (goat). RNAcentral's name for it is "lncRNA (ENSCHIG00000007319.1)". Lineage: Eukaryota; Metazoa; Chordata; Mammalia; Artiodactyla; Bovidae. The record is from RNAcentral.
CUUCUAAGAGAGUUUAUCUUAAUGCUGAGGCUAGCUGGGGUUUCAAGUAGAGCAAAGACUAGGGUCACACAGAGUAGCCUUUUCUCAAACAGCUUUUGUGAAGGAGCAGCUGUGGUAUCCUUGCAAGAGGCCUGACCAGAGAGGAGGAACUGGGGGUGAGGGCCGAAUGUGGCUGUUAGCAAGCCUCUUAGUACCUCUGGGUCUCGCUUUCAGCAGGACAGCCUGGGCUCUCUGAUUUCCAUAUCUGAACGUCGAGACUGGUGGGAGAAGGGAUAACUAGUGAGAGAGCUGUAAUUGGUGACUGCCUGCAGGGUGCAUGCCAAGGUGUGGAUUCUUCCCUUUGGCUCCCUCCUGCUCUCUCACUUCCCAGUGGCUGCUGACUGAGCCUGGAUUGUGGACUAGAAAGGGAAGGCUGCCAGGUUCCUCUGUCUAUGGGGAUUCUUCAAGCAAGAAUACUGGAGUGGACUGCCAUGCCCAACAAAAGCUGGCAUCGAGUGGACAGAAAAUGCAGGAUCUUGCAUUGUGGGGCUAGGUGCCAGUGCAGACAAAUGAUCAUCACAUAGGGAACAAGUUGUUCUAUGUACUUCAAGUAACUUCUCUCAUUCCAGUGAAUAAAGCAAAAAAAAAAUCAAGCUAGCACAGAGUGUAUCUAGAGACAAACAACUGAGUGGCAGUGCCAGAAGUAGAAACUGCACAAUGAAGCAAUGACAAUGUCAAAAAAGUGCCCAUCGCAUGGAUACCAUGCUGUACAACCAUUCAGAAAUUAUUAGGAGGAUCACAUGGUUUUCUAGCCAAACAUUUGCAAGUCUCUGUCACAUGUGAAAUUUUUAUAAAGACUGGUCUUGUUAUGAAACCCUUGGAGACGGGGUCUCUGUACAGAGAAAAUAAGACUGAAGGAUGACCUUCGCAUCCCCGUGGAGACUUCUUGGUUCCAGGCCAGAUCUGCAUGCGGACCUGAGCACGCUGGCUGCCCCAUAGCUCCCGCAGUCCUACAGGGGCUUCUGUCCCUAGGCUGUUUACCAGCAGCACCACAUCCCUCAUCCUGUCCACGCAGUUCUAUGGAAACUUUACGGUAUGUGUAAGUAUUUUAUUUAUU